This 161-nucleotide ribosomal RNA is filed under the name Gymnopus fuscotramus. Its description in RNAcentral is "5.8S ribosomal RNA". It matches the Rfam family "5.8S ribosomal RNA". Rfam says of the family: 5.8S ribosomal RNA (5.8S rRNA) is a component of the large subunit of the eukaryotic ribosome. The record is from RNAcentral. Lineage: Eukaryota; Fungi; Basidiomycota; Agaricomycetes; Agaricales; Omphalotaceae.
UACAACUUUCAGCAAUGGAUCUCUUGGCUCUCCCAUCGAUGAAGAACGCAGCGAAAUGCGAUAAGUAAUGUGAAUUGCAGAAUUCAGUGAAUCAUCGAAUCUUUGAACGCACCUUGCGCCCUCUGGUAUUCCGGCGGGCAUGCCUGUUUGAGUGUCAUUAU